AGUGAACGCUGGCGGUAGGCCUAACACAUGCAAGUCGAACGGCAGCACAGUAAGAGCUUGCUCUUACGGGUGGCGAGUGGCGGACGGGUGAGGAAUACAUCGGAAUCUACUUUUUCGUGGGGGAUAACGUAGGGAAACUUACGCUAAUACCGCAUACGACCUACGGGUGAAAGCAGGAGAUCUUCGGACCUUGCGUGAUUGAAUGAGCCGAUGUCGGAUUAGCUAGUUGGCGGGGUAAAGGCCCACCAAGGCGACGAUCCCUAGCUGGGCUGAGAGGGUGUUCAGCCACAGUGGAACUGAGACACGGUCCAGACUCCUACGGGAGGCAGCAGUGGGGAAUAUUGGACAAUGGGCGGAAGCCUGAUCCAGCCAUGCCGCGUGGGUGAAGAAGGCCUUCGGGUUGUAAAGCCCUUUUGUUGGGAAAGAAAAGCAGCAGGUUAAUACCCGGCUGUUCUGACGGUACCCAAAGAAUAAGCACCGGCUAACUUCGUG
This 492-nucleotide ribosomal RNA is filed under the name uncultured bacterium. RNAcentral describes it as "partial 16S ribosomal RNA". It matches the Rfam family "Bacterial small subunit ribosomal RNA", at positions 29 to 507 of the family's 1533-position model. The record is from RNAcentral.